ACCAGUGUGGUAUAGUGGUUUGUGGAUUGGACUAUGACUCUGGAGACCAGGGUUCGAUUCCCCGUUCAGCCA
Molecule: non-coding RNA, 72 nt
Organism: Phrynosoma platyrhinos (Desert horned lizard)
Lineage: Eukaryota; Metazoa; Chordata; Lepidosauria; Squamata; Phrynosomatidae
Source: the annotation of a GenBank genome assembly